AGCAGCCGCGGUAAUUCCAGCUCCAAUAGCGUAUAUUAAAGUUGUUGCAGUUAAAAAGCUCGUAGUUGAAUUUCGGGGUCAAUAAGUUGGUCGUGCCUAUGGUAUGCACUGGCUUUAUUGAUUCCUACCUCUUGACGAACUGUGAUGCCAUUAAUUUGGUGUCGCAAGGAAUCAGGACUGUUACCUUGAAAAAAUUAGAGUGUUUAAAGCAGGCUUGCGCUUGAAUACAUUAGCAUGGAAUAAUGAAAUAGGACGUUUGAACCUAUUUUGUUGGUUUCUAGGAUCGACGUAAUGAUUAAUAGGGAUAGUUGGGGGCAUUAGUAUUCAAUUGUCAGAGGUGAAAUUCUUGGAUUUAUUGAAGACUAACUACUGCGAAAGCAUUUGCCAAGGAUGUUUUCAUUAAUCAAGAACGAAAGUUAGGGGAUCGAAGGCGAUUAGAUACCGCCGUAGUCCUGACCGUAAACGAUGCUGACUCGCGAUUCGUCGGCGCCCNUUAAUGCGGGCCCGAUGA
This 511-nucleotide ribosomal RNA is filed under the name uncultured Glomus. Its description in RNAcentral is "bacterial SSU rRNA". It matches the Rfam family "Eukaryotic small subunit ribosomal RNA", at positions 569 to 1082 of the family's 1831-position model. The record is from RNAcentral. Lineage: Eukaryota; Fungi; Glomeromycota; Glomeromycetes; Glomerales; Glomeraceae.